ACAUUAAUUUUAGCUCCGCAUAACUCGCGUCCGUUCAUUCCUGAAUUACAAGAAAACAAAUUAAUAAUCACAUGAAGAAUUUUUAAGAUGAAACUCACCUUUACAAAACCAGUGCGACGGUCCAAGUUUAAAUGUAAAUUUUUAAUUUCACCAAACUCUUCAAAAGAAGAAAAAACGUCAUCUUCAACACAUUCUUCAUGUACUCCAGUUGCAAUAACAAUCCAACCUUCAAUGGCUGAUAAAGGAAUCACAAAUAACUAAUUUCUUCAGAAUAUGUAUAUAUCCCUCACAUUUCACCGGUCGACUCGGAUCCGAUAGCGCUGUUGAAGUAUCAUCAUUUUCUUUGUCUUCUAAAGCUUCAAAUACACCCGCAUCACCAUGAUAUCGAUUAUCAUGUGACGGGCUUCGACUCCUACUACGACCGUUUUCCAUUCGUAUAUCUUCCGAUUCAUUGUUAUUCUUUAAAUGCCUGUUUCGAAGGUCCCAACAAACAGAAAAUGAGGUUUCUACAGUGGAUGAUGCGUAUGUUAUAAAUGUCACUUUUUAGAAACACAGGUGUAGUGUACAACAUAAUUCACUAAUAAUUCCAAUAACAGAUUCUUUCAGUGCUAAGGACAUUGUUUUUUUUUUAUUGUUGUAAAUUUUUAUAUUUAUUUAUUGUGUUCUACGCACAUUUUUAAUCUUCGUUAACAGGUGUUAAAAAAGGGUUUUUCUUAUUAUAUAAAGAAUUAAGAAAUUCUGUCGAAGAGCAUUCGUUGUAAAUAAGAUCCAUUUGAUGUGUUGCUGAAGAGGAAUUAAAUUGUGAUACAAUCCAUUUCAGUUCGCUAAUGUCCGUGAAAACCUCUCCAUAAUAAGUAAAUGCAGAGCUGGCAAAAGAUUCUAAAUUCAAAUCAAUGAAUUUUCUGGAUAACACUCCCGUCGUAUUUAAUGUUUUAAAAGUGCUUCGAAGAUUAUUCAAUAAACUUUCCGUGAAUGCAUCCGGUGUCAAAAUUGGAAUCGUUGUACGUUGUUCAAUAUCCGCUUGAAACAAAUUCGCUAAUUCUUUUUCAUCCAACUGUUUAUUUUGGUCUUUAUCCAUAAUUUGAAAAAUCCAAGUAUCAUCUACAGCCCAUUUUAAGAAGUCAUCAUCGAUUUCCUUCAAAUCUAGAAAGAUAUGCAAUAGUUUCCAUUUUUAGAAACUCUCUCUUACAAUAAGUUAAUUUCUUAAAGAUAUCAAAAACAAGCAAAGAUUCUGAAUGGACACUUUGAAUCUAAAUAGCAACAUAUCAUUUGUUUUUAACUAUAGGAAACUCGAACGAUUUCACAAUUUUUAAAUGUUGUAUAGAAUAACGCACAAGUGAUUCUGAAAACAAUUCAAUUUCCUUAUGAGAUCUUGCGCAUUGCAAAAUUAUUUUUUUAGCUUCGUCAAAGCUUGAUUAAAUAAUUCUUGGGUUACCUACAAAUAGUAAAAAAAAAAAGUUAUUUUUAAAAGAAAUUCAAUAAUUACGUCUUGGGACGCGUUGAUAAGUAAAUACUUAUUAACGCGGUAUAUGUCGAACUCUUUAAAUUCGACAAAAGAAUCUUGAUUGGCAUCAAGUAAAAAAAAUUCGCUUUUUAUAUAUCUAGAAAUUUUUAUGUUCCAUUCAAGUUAAUAAAAAAGUUUUUCGGCAAUUGUUACCUUU
Long non-coding RNA from Hylaeus volcanicus, 1661 nucleotides. RefSeq lists it as uncharacterized. Lineage: Eukaryota; Metazoa; Arthropoda; Insecta; Hymenoptera; Colletidae. The record is from RefSeq and is a predicted model, not a curated record. The transcript is spliced from 4 exons.